GCUUGCCCCUUCUGCUCUACGUGCAAAGGAAGCGGUAGCGACGCGGGCGUGCGGUUCAAGGAGCGCCGAGGUGGCCUCUGACCAGGAGCGUCCGGAAGGGACAAGCGGGCGGCGGCGUUCAGGACAGUGGCGAGGUGCGGUUCAGGGAGCGGAGCGGCGGUGAAACGGGAGAGCAGCCUCGAGACGAGAUCCGCGGCGGCGUCGAGCGAUGUGACUUUGCUCUGCUGCUCGCGGCGUGGUCCGACGCAACUGGAAAGUUAGCUCGGCUCGUCCGGCCGGGUCGCGCGGGGGACGGCCGGAGGAGGAGCGGUGUCAAAACCCGCCUCCGGGCACCACUCGUCGUGGGCUCGGGGGGGACGUGAUAACCCGACGGGUCAAAACCGGGUACGCACAAAAAAAAAGACAACACAAAAAAGGAAAAUAGGGUCUCAAACGUCAAAAUGUUUUUUCGGGGAUCUGUUGUACGUAUAUUAUUGAGUGUAUGCCACGUAGUAUAAUUUUGUUUGAAUUAUACUUUGAACGAAUCUUAAAGUAGAUCAAAUUAUUAUACGGUGAAAGUAGGUGCAAACUUUACAAAUUUUACAACAAAUAAAUUUAACGAAUUUAUUGAACAAUUUUACUAAAUAAAGUAUUGAAUUAUUGGCAUCGAGGUUUGGAUUGUUUGAAAUAUACAUUUACCCCAUCUUUUUACGGAUUAAAUUGCAUCACUGAAAUGAAACGUACAAUUUGUUGAGAUUUUAUACCAAAUCCCGUCUUGUCAUUGUUUGGAUGAUAUACGUAUACUCCUAACAGGCCUUAACAACAAACAACAAAGGCCGGAGUAAAUUUGAACUGAUCUAUCCAUCAAAAGAAACGAAGUGGGAGAACGGUACAAAUUGUUGUAAAUUAUAACAACCUAUGUAUUUGCUCUCUCUUGAUUUAUUCAGUACACCACAAAAGAAGUUAUACGUUGAGGCAACGUAUUACUCGAGGUGAAUUAAACAUCCUGACAAACACGUGAAACGGUACGGUACGAAGUAAGUUGGCCUGUACGUAGUAUGAACAACACGUAGUACGGUACAACAACAUCACCAACAAAUGAUACAACACACGAAGAAAGGCCACAACGAAGAAGCCCAACCAAGGCUAUUGCGGCGUAAACACUCCUAGGCGAGCUGAUACAAGCAAACAGAAGAAGUACCCGAGCAAGAAGAAGGAACGCCCUAGAGUCGAACGUCCACGGCUACUUUGGCACGUCCACUGAGUUGGCUCCAGUUCCUCCUCGAGCUACUUCUAGAGCAAGUAACACAACAAAGCAAAGUCAACUAGUCAUCACCUCGGGUCAACCCUGCUAGCCCCUAGAUAUCGUAAACCCCAUCAGAUGAUAAUAAAACCAAGGCAUCGGCCUGGAACUAACAUAGACCUACUACAUUACGAAAUAAGUACAUAACACACUUCACCGCUAACAUUCGGUUGAUACAUGGAGAAAAGAAUAAGUAAUGUACCCAACACACUUCUAAUGGAGUGAACGCUGUAACGAAUGUUACGCCAAUACGGAGAUUCAGCACGAGGCUGUACACCCUCUAUAUCGGCGUAGUACCCGCAAUGUGGUACCUGGUCUCCCAUUUGGGAAGAGGGUAGAUCCCCCUUCCAGUUCCUUCUUCUUCUUCCCCCCGAGAGGGGGAGAGAGAGCCACCGCGGCCUUGUGACGGUCCCGGUAGUAGCACUAUUGAUAGAUGUGGUUGUUUAAGUGGCGGCAGUAGUGGUUGAGAAGGGGGAGAUACGUCACCACAUUGGGGAGAAAAUGGGCG
This 1790-nucleotide ribosomal RNA is filed under the name Triticum aestivum (bread wheat). Its description in RNAcentral is "partial small subunit ribosomal RNA". Lineage: Eukaryota; Viridiplantae; Streptophyta; Magnoliopsida; Poales; Poaceae. The record is from RNAcentral.